UGGGGAAUAUUGGGCAAUGGGCGCAAGCCUGACCCAGCAACGCCGCGUGAAGGAAGAAGGCUUUCGGGUUGUAAACUUCUUUUCUGAGGGACGAUAGUGACGGUACCUCAGGAAUAAGCCACGGCUAACUACGUGCCAGCAGCCGCGGUAAUACGUAGGUGGCAAGCGUUAUCCGGAUUUACUGGGUGUAAAGGGCGUGUAGGCGGGAUGGUAAGUCAGAUGUGAAAACUAUGGGCUCAACCCAUAGCCUGCAUUUGAAACUAUCGUUCUUGAGUGUUGGAGAGGCAGGCGGAAUUCCGUGUGUAGCGGUGAAAUGCGUAGAUAUACGGAGGAACACCAGUGGCGAAGGCGGCCUGCUGGACAAUAACUGACGUUGAGGCUCGAAAGCGUGGGGAGCAAACAGG
This 404-nucleotide ribosomal RNA is filed under the name uncultured bacterium. RNAcentral describes it as "bacterial SSU rRNA". It matches the Rfam family "Bacterial small subunit ribosomal RNA", at positions 355 to 776 of the family's 1533-position model. The record is from RNAcentral.